RNAcentral lists this long non-coding RNA (6891 nucleotides) under Salvia miltiorrhiza (redroot sage). RNAcentral's name for it is "long non-coding RNA (SMIL_LNC005350)". Lineage: Eukaryota; Viridiplantae; Streptophyta; Magnoliopsida; Lamiales; Lamiaceae. The record is from RNAcentral.
AAAUCGUGGCUGCAAUCUCUCUCUCUCUCCUCUCUCGCAAUCACGCUCGCGGACAGAACAGCCGCCCAUCCAUCUCUUAGCCAAGAUCUGCCGCGCCUCUGCGGCUCUGGAAAUUCCGACGAGGCGGUGCCUCAACUCUGAAAUCCGGCACCUCCUCACCUCUGUUCAUCUCAAUCCUCCAUCGAUCUCCCUUCCAAGAUGAUAAAUAUCGAGCCCUAGCUCCUAACUUCAGCGAGGAGCCAAGUCGAGCCCGAGCUAUUUCUUCAAAAUCACCACCGUCGCCCAGUAAUUUCCGGCGAACAGCCAGCUUUUCUCCACCGCCUUAUCUUCUCGAGAACAGACUCAUGCCUCUCCCCUUCUCAUUCCUCAAUUUCAUUCGUGCCCUAAUUUCUACCCCCAACGUCCGUGCCGUCUGUAACUCGCCGCGCCACCUCUGGCGCCUGAAAAUUAGUGAGGCCGGCGUUCGGCGUUGUCCCUCUGUUUCUGGGAGCAAAGCUGAAGCCGCGCCUAUUUCCCUCUUCGCAAGCUAGCGCCGCUGAGGGGACCGGCGGAUCGCCGCCGUCAUCUUCACUGAGCCACCAUCGGUACCUCCCUCUCCCUUCAAUUCGUGUCUCUCUAACUCUCUGAUUUCCCUCUGUUCCUUUCUCGCUUCUAAAUUUUCACAUCAAAUUUCAGUAAGCAAAACUGAGCCCUAGCCCCAUUUCUGGAAUCGCCGCCGUCGCGGCCCUUCUCCGGCGCGAUGGAUCGCCGUUGGACAUGUGAAUCGGCGAGAGUCGCCGUCAGCAUCGGGUCUCCCGACCUUAGGUGUCUUGCUGCCUUCGCCCUUGAGUUCCAGCUAGCGGAUGCUUCCGUCGAUGCACUCUGCCCAUCGGAACAGAACUCGUUCUGCUUGGUGUCGCCCUUAGGCGCAGCCAUGGCGCUCUGCCCCAACCCCCAGAUUGAACGGCAAUAGGCCACCAAGGAUACAACUCAACAGGUUACUAGCAUUUUCUAAGUUCAUUCUAUCUUAUGAAAUCUUGGUUUUCCAUACUCCGAUUAUGCUUAUGCUGGAGAUUACACUAGGCAUGAUUUUGCUAUGUGUCGUAAGAAAUUCUCAUUGUAUUUGCCUUGUGUGAAAGUCAUGGGUUGUUGAUUCAUAUGGAUAAAAGAUUAUACCAUUCGUCUCCUACUAUGCUUUCAAUAAACUGAUCAUUGCUUCAGGAAAUGAGGCGUGUAAACAAAAGAAGAAAAGACAUACUGAUGUAAAAAAUACCUUGAAUGUUUGUUCUUUUGGCUGUCUGUGCUGCUAUGUUUCAAUAAGAAAGAGCUGAAAAUGAAAUUCCAUAUUUUGUUUAACAAUUGCAGACUGAAACUCAAGGAGAAAAUGGUGAAAGAGUUGGCCAUUCUUACCUUUCUGAGUCUGCCAGAAGCUGAAUCAAAAUUCUUUCCCUUUGAGAGUUGGUACACGAAGGAAGAUAUGAAGGAGAAUUUGUUGACUGAAAUAGAAGAAAGGGUUGUUGGCUAAUAGUAUAAAGUGUGGAGUUGGUGCUGAUACUUGAGUGUUUGACAAGAUGAAGCAUGCGUAGGUUAUAGAUGAAUGACCCUUAGCAGCAUGGCUUUGAGCUGAAAAGGGGCUGUAGAGUUGAAGAAAAUGAGUUGAUGUUUGUACUUGCAUACUUUCUAUUGCUGAUUUUGGGCUUUGCGUGUAUGUAGCAGAUAGAGUAGGAAUUGAUAUAAAGUGUAGGAAAGUUGUGAGGUGACAAUUAAAAUCCCUCCGUCUUGUAUCAUUUGCGCGUUUGUGAUACUAAUUCCGAGUUUUGCUAAUUGAUCGCGUGUUCUCGUAAAAUAAAUCUAAAUUAAAUCCGUAGAUUUAAUUUGAUUCACAAGCCAAAAUAAAACCACUACUUAAGUAAUCAUAGUAAAUAAAAAAAAAACAAUACUUUUAUUAAAAAGAAUAAAUAACAUGACUUUGUUAAGUCAGUUAUAAAUUAAAAAUAUAAAUUAUUGAUUGGCUCAAUAAUUCAUAAUGAGGUUUUUCUCAUGCGAAGUUAGUAUGUACAAUCGAAUCAAAAACUCUGUAUCUCGCAUAAACAUCUAAUUCAAAAUCUUGAGUUGAAUUAUCUAAUGAUAAUCACUGGAUUAUCAUAGCUAAAGAUGCAAUGAUAUAAUUAUUGUAAUAGUGGUCUUUACUUAAUAAAUAAAAAUAGCGGGUUGCUACAUACUACCCCUCUUAACAAAAAUUUCGUCCCGAAAUUUGCAUACUCUCAGAUUCUUAGGCUAGCCAAUUCGUUUUCUUAGCUUCUACACUUCUCAAUUACAAAUGGCCUCAGGUUUCUUGACCUCAGUCGGUUUACUCGUUCAACCAAACGUAGGUGAACUCCGUCUUAAAUGUUCUUCGACUCUCCUAGUUGGGGGUGGAGGGGGUGGGUUAGGUUCUUGGUCGGUUUGUGGUUCUCCUGAUAUCGCAUUAUGGUUUUCACGAUUGUUAAUGCUUCUCUUGGCGGAUGUCUGAUUGCCAUAAAAUGCAUCAAAUGGGUUUACUCUAACAUAAUCUGAUACAACCUCAAAGGGCUGCCUUACGAUAAUCUUUAAAUGAUUCAUUAUAUACCCCAUGCUUGUGCAUAAAUCAUAAAAGUUCUCAUCUUACUUAGAUACAUAGCAUACCAAGCCAACUCAAAUAAGCAUCUUCUGAUUGAAAAGGUUGAUGAGAACUCACUAUAACAAUUGGGUUGUAAAGGUUCUAAUCCUGCAUGACAACUUGUAUAAAGGGGGUUGCUACUAAUUAGCCAGAAGGUUAAAAUAACAUGUCCAACGAAUCGAAACAAAAAGAUCAAAUGGUCGAAACUAACCGGCCCUUGAGACAUGAAGGUUUGAAAACCCAGAAUAACGACUAUUGAUAUAUAUAUUUACGUGGGCUAUCAGGCCCAACACAAUUCCUUCUCUUUCACUUGGCAACACAAUCCCGUACCAGGAAAUUCUUAACUCGGUAUGACUAUAAGUAAGCUCCAAGCUUAGGGCAUCACUUAUAUCCUUAUGCUUUCUAAGUUCCAUUGUUCAAUCAUAUUAUUAUGAUCAAAAUCCUUCAUAGCAUAACUAGGGCGUCAUUAUGAAAUUCUGAAAAAAUCAUAUCUUUCGAAUAUGAUAACUUCUGUGUCAACAACGUGAAAAUAAUGCCAACAACCUUAGAGUUAAUACUUAAAAGGCAUUUCAUUCCUAACUCGGUCAUAGCGUCAUAUCUCAAUUAACAUCAUCGGGGUUGUAAGCUUCAACGGUUCUUAGCAUCUCAAACCCAUAAGUAGCGUAAAAAUUUUCUAACCCUAUAAACAUCAUCAUAUCUCCACAUCUUGUUGCAUCUCCAUCCUUGGCGUUCUCUUGUAUCAUCUAUCGUUGUCUUGCUUUUCUUUCUCCUUUGUUCUUCACUUACAACUAUAGUAAAAUAUAGAUGGACUUCUUUCUAUGUUUGCUUCUAUGUUCUGUCAUAGAGGUGAUCAUAUAGCUUAGUCGCUCUAAGUUCUUAGGGAUUCAUAUCAUAGUCAUAGUUAAUCGUGUUUGUGUCAGUCAUUCCAUAGAAUAAUAGUGUAAAUUAACCAUCGAUAGUUUCACGUUCUCAUAUUGCUUUCAUAUCGCGUUAUUUCCCACUAUUCAUUCAUGUAAAAAGAUAUUCAAGAAUUCAAACAUCAAUUUAAAACAUGAAAGCGCUUACCAUUCUGCUUCGUUGAGAGUGAUGCGAUGAAGUGCUGAGCUUUGUCGACUAAACUCUAGAUAUUUUAGUGACUCAGUCUAGGCUUAACUUAAAGAAACUCUUAGGCUCAGAGCAAACGAACUGCUCUGAUACCAUUCUGUCACGACCGGCCUUAACUAAAGAUAACUAAUCCGGGAAAUCGUGACUAGGGAAGGGAUUUAAGAAGCGGGGUUAGAAAGGGCACAUUUGACUCAUUAAACUCGAUUAUAGACAUUAUAUCUAGCAUUAAUUUUGAAAUAAAAUUUAAGACAUUGAAGAUUGACGCAUAUAUUAAAAAAAAAAUCUCGAUGAACCCGAGUAAGCUUAAUAUUUCUUUGAAGAGUAAUUGCAUAUAUAGACUUGCUAAAACAUAAUCAGUGUUUGCAGCGGAAGCAACUGAGAUACAUGUAUGCAGACAAUAUCCUUUCUGAGCCUAUUAGUUCGACAAAAGCUCCACUCAGCAACACUUCAUCGUCAUCACAGCUCAACCUGCACAUUAAAACAUAUGCAGGGCUAAGUACAAAAGUACUUAGUGGGCUUGCCAAAACUAUAAUAUAAGCUUAACAUUUUAUAUACAAACCAAGCAUCUAAGAAAAAGCUUCUUUCAAAUCCUUCUUAAUAAAUUUCAUAAUCCAUAAUAGCGUGUGCAUUCUUCAUCAUAAUCAUUCAAAGCAUCGUGUCGUGAGGAAGGCCUUCCUCAACAACACAGGCAUCGCGCCGUGAGGGAGGCCUCCCUCAGCGGACACGGCAUCGUACUGUUGAGGGAGGCCUCCCCCAACAGACGCUAGCAUCGUCCGUUGAGGGAGGCCUCCCUCAACGGACGUUUGACCGGCCAACCCUCUCAUUGACUCACGGUCGCGUUGUUACUAAAUCUGCAGAAGCUAUCCGCUCAGGAUUCAACUCUUACAUCAUCACUGGCAUAAUAAAAUAAAGCAUUCAGUAACAAAGCAUAAUAAUACACAGGCGUACAAAGCGUAAGACUAAAGCGUAGAACAUUAGCGUAAAUAAUAUAGCGUAAUACUUGGUAACAAGCGUAAAUUAAAAGCGUAAAAUUUACGAAACAAAGCAUAACCGAUUAAGCAUAAAAGGUAAUUAAUUUAAGAAUAAAAUAAUCAUUUAAGCAUAAUAGGGCAUAACUCAAUUAAGCGUAAUAAAGUAUAUUUUUUUUUAAGCAUAAACUUUAUAGUUCUAUAGCAUUUUAUUUUGCUAAGAAAUGCCCACCUGAUAGCAAAGAUUUGUAAGGUGUUGACUCCUUGAUAGCUCUCUCGCGCUUGACCUUAUUCGAAUAUAAAUAAAGCAUUGGCCAGAAAUCUCAUAAUUGAGAAUGGUAAUUAACUAUGCAUGACUCAUUUUCGCUAUAAAAUCCAAACUAUGGAUUAAGCUCGUCUUAUGAAUGGAUAUUAAUCUUAAUUAAUCCACUCAUCUUGGUUGCUAACCCUUACUAAUUAAUAAUCCCUUCUAAUUAAUCCAUAAUUAGAAAACUAAAUAAUUAAUAGAUUAAUCUAGACUAGUCUUUAAUCGGCUAAUAAAUAAUAAGGCAGCCUAAGAUUAAUUGGGAGCAACAUAAGGCAACCCAAUAAAAGAAAUUGGACCCAAUCAAAUAACCAUCGCAAUUCAUUCUCUUAAAAUAUGCCUGGGCUCCCAUUAAGAAAAGGAAUCAGCCUAUCUGAUUAACUCUGGCCCAGCUGCUUAGCCUCUAAUAAAAUCGGCCCAAGAAAUAGCCCAAACUAAUUUCCCUUUAUCCUCCAAAUCGUGGCUGCAAUUCUCUCUCUCUCCUCUCUCGCAAUCACGCUCGCGGCAAACGCCGCGCCUUCCUCUUAGCAAUAUCUGCCGCACUGUUAGUCCAGAGGCUCAUCUGAAAUCCGGCACCCCUCACCUUGCAUCUCAAUCCUCAUGACCCUUCAAGAUGAUAAAUACGACCUACCCAACUCAGCGAGGAGCCAAGUCGAGCCCGAGCUAUUCUUCAAAAUCACCCCGUCGCCCAGUAACUUUCCGGCGAACGCAGCUUUUCUCCACCGCCUUAUCUUCUCGAAACAGACUCACCUCUCCCCUUACUCUAUUCCUCAAUUUCAUUCGUGCCCUAAUUUCUCCCCAACGUCCGUGCCGUCUGUAACUCGCCGCGCCACCUCUGGCGCCUGAAAAUUAGUGAGGCCGGCGUUCGACGUUGUCCCUCUGUUUCUGGGAGCAAAGCUGAAGCGCGCCUAUUUCCCUCUUCGCAAGCUAGCGCUGAGGGGACCGGCGGAUCGCCGCCGUCAACUUCACUGAGCCACCAUCGGUACCUCAAAUUUCAGUAAGCAAAACUGAGCCCUAGCCCCAUUUCUGGAAUCGCCGCCGUCGCGGCCCUUCUCCGGCGCGAUGGAUCGCCGUUGGACAUGUGAAUCGGCGAGAGUCGCCGUCAGCAUCGGGUCUCCCGACCUUAGGUGUCUUGCUGCCUUCGCCCAUGAGUUCCAGCUAGCGGAUGCUUCCGUCGAUGCACUCUGCCCAUCGGAACAGAACUCGUUCUGCUUGGUGUCGCCCUUAGGCGCAGCCAUGGCGCUCUGCCCCAAAACCCCCAGAUUGAACGGCAACAGGCCACCAAGGAUAAAACUCAACAGGUUACUAGCAUUUUCUAAGUUCAUUCUAUCUUAUGAAAUCUUGGUUUUCCAUACUCCGAUUAUGCUUAUGCUGGAGAUUACACUAGGCAUGAUUUUGCUAUGUGUCGUAAGAAAUUCUCAUUGUAUUUGCCUUGUGUGAAAGUCAUGGGUUGUUGAUUCUAUAUGGAUAAAAGAUUAUACCAUUCGUCUCCUACUAUGCUUUUCAAAUAAACUGAUCAUAUGCUUGAUGGGAAAUGAGGCGUGUAACAAAGAAGAAAGCAUACUGAUGUAAAAAUACCUUGAAUGUUUGUUCUUUUGGCUGUCUGUGCUGCUAUGUUCAAUAAGAAAGAGCUGAAAUGAAUUCCAUAUUUUGUUUAACAAUUGCAGACUGAACUCAAGAAGAAAUGGUGAAAGAGUUGGCCAUUCUUACCUUUCUGAGUCUGCCAGAAGCUGAAUCAAAAUUCUUUCCCUUUGAGAGUUGGUACACGAAGGAAGAUAUGAAGGAGAAUUUGUUGAUUGAAAUUAUAGAAGAAAGGGUUGUUGGCUAAUAGUAUAAAGUGUGGAGUUGGUGCUGAUUACAUAAUGGGGAUAGUUGGUAGUGAAGUGGAAGAGUAGGUG